RNAcentral lists this ribosomal RNA (583 nucleotides) under Cyclophorus sp. (in: gastropods). RNAcentral describes it as "eukaryotic LSU rRNA". It matches the Rfam family "Eukaryotic large subunit ribosomal RNA", at positions 367 to 754 of the family's 3401-position model. The record is from RNAcentral. Lineage: Eukaryota; Metazoa; Mollusca; Gastropoda; Architaenioglossa; Cyclophoridae.
AAAAGAACUUUGAAGAGAGAGUUCAACAGUACGUGAAACCGCCUAGAGGUAAACGGGUGGAUCCGCAAAGUCGGUCCGCGAAAUUCAGCUCGGAAGGCUGGUCGCAAGUGGCAGGGCGGAGAUCUUCCGUGGACUCUCUUGCUGCUUGACGCUGGCUUGACGUGUGCACUUUUCGCAGGCAGAGCGCCACGACCGGUUUUCGGGCAGUCAGAAGGCGGCCAGGAAGGUAGGUGGGCGCUUCGGCGUUUACUGUUAUAGCCUGACCUGUCCCGAUCUGCUCGGAGACCGAGGAGCCGCCGCUUGGCUGGGGCUACCCUGCUCUCCAUGGGGGAUUCGACUGGCAGAGACUGGGCAACCGUGUCUGCCGACUGCCUCUGUGGACGGAUGGGGGUGUUCGAGUCCGCCAAGCACAGGGUCGGUGGCGAAUCGGUCGGCACUCCACCCGACCCGUCUUGAAACACGGACCAAGGAGUCUAACAUGCGCGCGAGUCGUUGGGUAGUACGAAACCCGAAGGCACAGUGAAAGCGAGGGCCGUCCUUGCGACGUGCUCAGGUGGGAUCCUGUGUUCUUUCCGGCACAGGC